CUGUGUACCACUAGUGCCACAAAGGCCUUUGGUGGUCUUAUUGGCGCAUACCACGGUGGGGUCUUCGACUGGGGUGAAGUCGUAACAAGGUAGCCGUAGGGGAACCUGUGGCUGGAUUGAAUCCUUCGCGAUGGAAAUGCCCUCGCCUACUUGACUAAACUAAGGACCUCAACGGUAUAAACAUGUAGAUUUUCUACUUUUCCAUUUUCCUUCUUGUUUAUCAAUCACCAAUCAAGACAAACCGGGCACUACGGUGAGACGUGAAAACACCCGAUCCCAUUCCGACCUCGAUAUAUAUGUGGAAUCGUCUUGCGCCAUAUGUACUGAAAUUGUUCGGGAGACAUGGUCAAAGCCCGGAGAAAGAGCAAGAAAACUAAAGAAAGCGCUAGCACAAUUUGGAUUUCGAGUCCAAUGCGCUAACGCUUUCUUUAGUUUUCUUGCUCUUUCUCCGGGCUUUGACCAUGUCUCCCGAACAAUUUCAGUACAUAUGGCGCAAGACGAUUCCACAUAUAUAUCGAGGUCGGAAUGGGAUCGGGUGUUUUCACGUCUCACCGUAGUGCCCGGUUUGUCUUGAUUGGUGAUUGAUAAACAAGAAGGAAAAUGGAAAAGUAGAAAAUCUACAUGUUUAUAC
Molecule: long non-coding RNA, 631 nt
Organism: Triticum dicoccoides
Lineage: Eukaryota; Viridiplantae; Streptophyta; Magnoliopsida; Poales; Poaceae
Exons: 3
Source: RefSeq, a predicted model, not a curated record